RNAcentral lists this ribosomal RNA (484 nucleotides) under uncultured bacterium. RNAcentral's name for it is "bacterial SSU rRNA". It matches the Rfam family "Bacterial small subunit ribosomal RNA", at positions 30 to 507 of the family's 1533-position model. The record is from RNAcentral.
AUUGAACGCUGGCGGCAUGCCUUACACAUGCAAGUCGAACGGCAGCACGGGAGCAAUCCUGGUGGCGAGUGGCGAACGGGUGAGUAAUAUAUCGGAACGUGCCCGGUCGUGGGGGAUAACGUAGCGAAAGCUACGCUAAUACCGCAUACGAUCUACGGAUGAAAGCGGGGGAUCGCAAGACCUCGCGCGAUUGGAGCGGCCGAUAUCAGAUUAGGUAGUUGGUGAGGUAAAGGCUCACCAAGCCGACGAUCUGUAGCUGGUCUGAGAGGACGACCCAGCCACACUGGGACUGAGACACGGCCCAGACUCCUACGGGAGGCAGCAGUGGGGAAUUUUGGACAAUGGGCGCAAGCCUGAUCCAGCAAUGCCGCGUGCAGGAUGAAGGCCUUCGGGUUGUAAACUGCUUUGUACGGAACGAAACGGUGAGCUCUAAUACAGUUUGCUAAUGACGGUACCGUAAGAAUAAGCACCGGCUAACUACGUG